Molecule: long non-coding RNA, 970 nt
Organism: Capsicum annuum
Lineage: Eukaryota; Viridiplantae; Streptophyta; Magnoliopsida; Solanales; Solanaceae
Exons: 3
Source: RefSeq, a predicted model, not a curated record
UCCCUGAUGAGCUUCUCCGAAGUAUAAAUUUGGAUUACUUACAUUCUGAGAAGGUUGUUCAACAUGAUUGUCGAGUACGUAUAGUGAUGUUAACUUUGUCUUCAUGUCAUGUAAUAAUCCAAAGGAAAAUUAAAUUUUUUAUUUUAUUUUUUUGCAGAUCAGUGAUGAAAUAAUUUUAUCUGAUUCACAAUUCACAAUCCCUGAUGAGAUGUUACCGAGCCUAAAUGUCUAUCAAAUACAAAGCAUCAUCAUACAUCCAUCGGCAAACCGUUAAGAAGAACAUGAAAAUUUGUAUGCAAAAACUUCUGAGACUGUUAUUGAAGAUCAUGCUCAAAUGAACAAAGGGAUCAUUGAUUUGAGUUCAAAUUCACUCGUGAAUUCAGAGGUCAAACUUGCUACAGAGGAGCAAGUUAGGACACCUCCUAAUACACAAGAAUUAACCAAUGAUGAACAGAGGGAUGAACAUUUGUGGCCUGAUUCUCAAAACAUAAUCUCAGAUGAGUUUCUACCUAGCUUGAAUGUCUACGAUCAAAAAAGCAUCAUGAUUCAUCCAUCCGCUAAUCAUGAAGUUAACACUCCCAGACCAAAGUUAAGGAUUAGGCGACCAUCAAAAUUCAAGGAAUCUCCAUACACCAAAAAAUUUAGUUCAGCAGCUGGGAGCUUAGCAGGGCUAAUACGCAUAUUCCCCUAAAAACAUCCAUUUUUUAUAUCACCCGAUUGAUGGGAUAAUAGAUACGAAGAUUGUCAAGAACUUCAACGACUGGAUUUCUGCCGACCUAUUAGAAGCUACUGCCAAGAGGUAGUUCUUUUGAAUUGCUUCAAAUUAUUUUUUUGUAUCAAUGCAUGUUUUGAAGCUUUGCGACUAUGCCAUUCUUGGCGACGGUGAUCGCCGACGAGAAGGUGACGGCCACCCCAGUCAGAUGUCUCAGAAAGGGUAGUGAUCUCCCCCUGAAAAGUAUCACGAUCAUAA